CUUGUUGAGACAAACAGGAGUAUCACUUAUAACCAUGUUUACAAGCUUCUAAAAUUGGUUCUAAUCCUACUAGUUGCAACACCUAGAGUUGAGAAAGUAUUCUCUUCAAUGACUUUUGGUAAAAACAAGUUACCGACCAUUUUGUAUUUCUAUUGCCGUGAACCAAUGGGCUCUUCUAUUAGGGUGCAAAAAAAAAAUGUAACACCCAAUGUUGAAUUCCUGGAUUCGCCACUGACCAUACUAACUACAUAUCGCGCAGUUUGUCCGGAGAGAUGGCUGACGGGUCGCUCAGCUUGGACGUCGAGGCCGGCUCACUCGCGGCGGCUGCAACGAAGGGCCGCCGGUGGGUGGAGUGCAUGGUGUUCACCGUGGGCCUCGCCACUUCCUGCAUGUCGGCUGCCUCGGUCAUGUACAAGGCGCUCGCCGGCAUCUUCGUCGGCCACAGCUGCGUAUCAGAAUCGUAUCGCGCGCCGCUGCGUCCUGUGCGUUUCGUUCCUGACCCUGGCGUUCAUGGCGGGCCUCGGCGGAGUCCGCAUACUCGUCAAGUAG
This 549-nucleotide ribosomal RNA is filed under the name Triticum aestivum (bread wheat). RNAcentral describes it as "partial small subunit ribosomal RNA". Lineage: Eukaryota; Viridiplantae; Streptophyta; Magnoliopsida; Poales; Poaceae. The record is from RNAcentral.